CUUUUCCAAUUCUAAAAGUUAUUCUGAGUGGAUUUCCAUUUGAUGUCAGAGUGUGCUCAUAAUUUUGAUAGAUUGUGAUUUGUUAUCUGGUUUUCAUUUUAGUGAAAGACGGAGGUCAAGAAGUAUAUCUGGAUCACCUCCACCGAGAGGACGGUCCAUUUCCUCUGAGAGGCCACGUCGAUCUUCACCAAGACUGUCUGGGACACCGAGGAGGAGGCAUUCGCCUCGUCUCUCUCCUCCACCAAGGUAUAGGUCAACCCGCACUAGGAGAAGAUCUAUAUCGCAUUCAAGGCACAGGUCUCCUUCUCCCACACGAUAUAGGGUUCGUUCCCCUCUGCGUCGCAGGUCACGAUCUCCUUUGCGACGUAGAUCAAGAUCUCCCGUGUGGCGUAGGUCAAGGACACCAAUACGAAGAUCACCAGUGCAAUACAGGUCCCGUUCACCCGUGCGACGCAGAUCACCACCUGUGCGACGCAGAUCACCACCUGUGAGACGUAGAUCACCGUCUCCUAUCCCACGACGAUCACUGUCUCCUAUGCGACGACGAUCACCUUCCCCCCCUCGUCGUAGGUUGCCAUCCUUUCGUCGUAAGUCACCAUCCCCUCAUCGUAGGUCACCAUCUCCUGUAAGAAGGCAGCACCGACGAUCACCUUCAACUCCACGGCGCCAGUCUAUAUCCCCAGUUCGGCACAGGUUACCAGUGCCCAGUCGAAGAAGAUCUAUAACACCUGCCAAACGAAGGUCUCCUUCAGUGCAAGAAUCUAUUUCCCCCUCUCCCAGUUCCCUUUCACCAGUCAGGAGGCGAUCACUGAAAAGCCAGAAAUCACCUCUACGAUCUCCCAGAGAAGCAAUCAGGUACUUUAGAGCAUGUUAGCUGCUUUCGAUCUUUAAGAAUUUUUUGAUAUUUGUAUUUUAUUUUGCUUUCAAGCGUAUGGUUUGCAUGUGUUUUUGUUACUGUUACAGUUUAGAUGCUUUAGUGCACAUCUGCAGCAAUGAUAAUGGCGGAACAGACAUUUUUUUUUUUUUAAAAUUAGGAUGCCUAGGAAUACGACAAAAACAAAUCAAUUGAGAUGACACACCCCUUUUAAGCAACUGUGAUAUGUCACGACAGUGUAAUGGUUCAUAAAAAAGAGAACAGGACGUUAUCUACAUAAAAGAACACUGAAGAGACAACACAAUGAAAUUAUGUGCUUAAGACUGUUGGCAUCCUUCCACAUAACACCUAAGCACAGCCCAUAUGAACCAUAACUCAACCAAUCUACUCCAGUUAUUAAAAAAAACCUCGUGUCUUCUUUAUAGAAUAAAAGGAACAUGCUUGAAAUACAGACCUCUAAACGAGGAGGUGCCUCAAAUGGCAAGAUCAUUAAUUUGUUUAUCCAAUAUUCUACCUUUUUGCUGGCACUUCAUUCUUAACUGUAGAUAAAUAGUUCAUUGAAUUGCAACAGAACUUUCCUAUAGCUUUAGUCGGAGGGCAGAAAUGUGAGUUAAUUUUUUUUCUGUAAGGUCCAUUUCCUAGUUUGAAAAGAAUUCAUAUUUUUGUUUUUAUUGUUUAAGGGACAGGGAAACAUGCAAUAUAUCAUGAUGAUGUGGCAGAUAAAUGAAAAUAUUUGAGUGUUGGUAACAGCCACACAAGAAAAAAGUGUGCUCUUUGUUUAAUGAGGUUGAUCAUGAUAUUUCCAGUAUUGCCACUCUCCUUUUUCUUCCCUCUGGUUUUAUCUCUGCUUUUUCCUUUGAUCUCUUGGAAGAACUGGGCUUUCAAAUUAGAGAAACUGGGGUAGAGAGCUGAGAUCUCUAUUAUAUAUCUGGUGAAUUUUGCACGAUUUUGUGUUAUGAGAUGACCAUCUGUACUAUUUCGACUUAUUGCUCUAUUUCCAUUCAAACUGGAUUCCCAUCUGCAUGCACUUUCCUAGUUUGCAGUAGCUGUAAAAAUUUUGAUGCAUAAAAUUCCUGCUGCUGGGGAAUAUGCAUAGAAAGCAGGCUUACUUGAUCUUUGAUCUCUCUAAACUCUAAUCCAAACUCUGAACUGUAGGCCUCUUGUUUCUUUGAGAUCACCGCAAAGGGACAUGCUGGAUCGAAAUGACCAACGUGGAAGAGUGCUGGAUCCGUCUCCUCUGCACAAGUCUCCAUCUGCUUCCGAAGUGUCUGGGGAAGGAAAUCAUAUUGAACGGCAGAGGUUCAAACCUCUAUCUAUAUCUACCUUUUGGUUUUUUUAUCACAUUUUCUUGAGGUGUAACAUUGUAAGUCACAUUUUAUUUGGAUAGGUCUAGUAGUCCUCAUCGUAGUCCUUAUCAAAGAAGGGAAAGGAUCAUUCUUCCUGAGAGUCCAAACCCUUUACCGAAAGGAAUGGGAUCCAAACCUCAUCCUGAUAGUUCUGGGACAAGUGCUGAUGACAGGUAAACCUUGUAUGCUAGGUUUUGUUUGAAAAGUUCAUUGUUCUCGAACGUGGUAUUUUUUACUCUAAAUUUCUGAGUUGUGCAUGGUUUUAUUUUUUAUUUAGAGAGAUUGGAAAGCUUAAACAUAGAUCUUUAGAGAAAAAUUCUCCAUCACAUGAUCGGCAUAAAGAUUCUUUUGGCUUUGAUGAUCAUGUGAAGUCAAGAAAUCCUCGUCAACUGCCAGACAGGUUUGCUGUUGCUGUGGUACAUUCUGUCUCAGUAGUCUAUAGUUUGUGUAUAACUGAUCUAAUUUUUGUAUUUUUUGUUUUUAUUUGAAUAAACCAGUGAAAAGUUAGCUGAAAGAGUGGAUCACAUAAUAAAUCCCGAGAAACAAGAAUCAUUAGUGAUUCGUAAAAGCGCCAUAUUAAGAGAGGAAGGAAAGGGAUCAUAUGUUGACAAUGAUUACAGAGCUGUUGAUAAGAAUACAUCUGUGUAUGACGAUACCAAGGGCAGUGGUCGACAUUCAGAACUUGAAGUCUUGCCUAAUUUGUCUGGGGCAGACAAGCUGAAUGCUCGAAGUCGUUCAGUGGGAUUCAACUCUGAGGAAACUGACAGGCAUAAAACUAAAAUUAAAGAAAAGGGAAAGCACAAGAGGUCAGAGAGACAAGAGGUGGAAUCAGAUGACUAUUCUAGCUAUGAUUCUUAUGAGAAGAGGAAGGAGGCUAAGAGGAGGAAAAAAGAGGAGAAGAAAUUGAAAAAGGAGGAGAGGCAUCGACGGCGGGAGGAACGGCGCCGCAGAAAAAAGGAAAAGCAUGCAGAGAAGCUGAAAUUGAAGUCGCUUGACGCUGGUAGUCCAUCUUUAGAUAUUGAGAUUGAUCAUGAUCGUCAUGCUUCUUAUGAUGACGGUUAUAGAAGGCGGGAAACGCAUACAAGUGACAUGGAGGAAACAGAAUCUGAGCAGAAAAAGCUUGAGAUAGAGUUGAGGGAAAAGGCUCUUGAGUCGCUUCGAGCAAAGAAGGGCGCUCAGAAUUAAAUUUUUUUGCUGCUCUAGAAUAUUUCACUUUUAUUUUCUGUUAUAUGAUCCUGUUAUGAGUUCCUGUUUCUGUCCUAGACCUAUUCUGUUUCGGAUGAAUGUAUUCUUGGUGGCUAUUUAAUGUAAUGUGUCUUUACUGCUGGCAGCUGAAUGGAUAAAUGAGGAUUUCCUGAGCUAGUGUCUUGAGUGCAACUUUAUGCUGACUUUCCUGCUAAAUUUGCUGGUAAUAUUUGUCUUCCCUUCACUGGGAAUAUGUUUAUGUUAUAUUUACACGACACAAAAGUGUGCACGUGAAUCAUCUUGUUGCUUGGGUGGUGCUUUCCAUCUUUUACUAUUUUGUGUCUACUAUACUUACAUUUUGGUAUUUGCUUGUCUUCUGUGAGUUGGAAUUUCAAUUAAGCUUGCAGGUAAGGAGUGCCUAACCUUUUAUUCUUUGGAAUGAUUAUGUGCAUCCUGAAGGUCUUGACAGUUAUUUCCCUAAAUAACUUUGUUACUAAAAUGACUUUCUGGUUAAUUGAUAGAUGAGAAUAAUUGUCAACUUGACGACUUCGUUGAGCAGAUCUUGUGCAACUCCAUAUUUUAGACCUCCAUACAGGUGAAGUAUUUUACUCUUAGUUGGUUUCUCUUAAAUAAUUAUUUACUUGGUUGAGAUUUGAAUUUCGAAUUCUGUCAGAGUUCUAAUUCUACCUCUGUAUCGUUGGCAGCCUGAGAGUUAUUCCCAAGAAUUUGAUUUUCUAUUCUACAUGAUACCUUUAAGUUCCUGUUCAUCCUGUUUCCAUGUUGAUUGCAGCUGGUAAUCAAUACUGGUGCAUAAUUGUGG
RNAcentral lists this long non-coding RNA (4225 nucleotides) under Olea europaea subsp. europaea. The record is from RNAcentral. Lineage: Eukaryota; Viridiplantae; Streptophyta; Magnoliopsida; Lamiales; Oleaceae.